This 312-nucleotide ribosomal RNA is filed under the name uncultured eukaryote. RNAcentral describes it as "partial 18S ribosomal RNA". It matches the Rfam family "Eukaryotic small subunit ribosomal RNA", at positions 1470 to 1796 of the family's 1831-position model. The record is from RNAcentral.
CCCUUAGAUGUUCUGGGCCGCACGCGCGCUACACUGACGGAGCCAACGAGUACUUUCCUUGUCCGGAAGGACUGGGUAAUCUUGUGAAACUUCGUCGUGCUGGGGAUAGAGCAUUGCAAUUAUUGCUCUUCAACGAGGAAUUCCUAGUAAGCGUGAGUCAUCAGCUCGCGUUGAUUACGUCCCUGCCCUUUGUACACACCGCCCGUCGCUCCUACCGAUUGGGUGAGCCGAUGAAACUCUCGGAUGUAGGCUAUUCAUAGCCCGCAGAAGAGAUUUGAAUCGUAGCGCUUAGAGGAAGGAGAAGUCGUAACA